This is a non-coding RNA of Misgurnus anguillicaudatus (oriental weatherfish), 1486 nucleotides long. The record is from RefSeq and is a predicted model, not a curated record. Lineage: Eukaryota; Metazoa; Chordata; Actinopteri; Cypriniformes; Cobitidae.
ACGUAACUUCAGCUUUAGGACCCAGGAGGUCGAAUAUCUAGGAUGCAUUCGUCGAUUCGCAUGCUGCGAUUGGUGGUCCAGAUGCAACUCAUUUUGAGUGACAGAAAAACUGACCAAUCAUACUGUUCCUCUGAAUGGGUGGGUUCUCUUAUCACUAACUCUCAUAGAUAUGUAUCAUGUAUGUAUCUAUUAUGACAAAUUCUGCUCGCUCGCUCGCUUGGUUCGUGUUAUAAAAAUAAAUGUGACUUUACUGCGGUCUUUUUCGGUUUAUUUAGUUUUGUGUUAACUAUAUCCACAAAGUAUUCGAAUAAAUUGGUAAUGUAAAACUAUAUUCUUCGCUGUAAAUUAAUUGUGUGCUCAAUUGCGACGCCCUGUGUUGAAUUUUCCCGCGAGUACAGUAUCAUUACUGAGGGGAAAUAUAACAUUAUUCAUUUAAUUCCACAAAAGGUGAGUAAGAUAUUAAAUGUAUAAGUUGUCUUUUUAAAAUGUUUAAGCUUUCUACAUAAUGUAAAUUGAACAUUUUAUUAUUAUUAUUAAUUUCGCGACAUAUUAUCUAAAUUGUGUGUUCAUGAAGGCCUGUAACGUACUGCAGCUUCCUGCAGGCAACGUGAAACAUUGCUGAGGGAGAACUUUAUUCACAACAAAAGGAUAAAGAUGAAGAGGCGGGACUUGAGCAGCUUGUGAUGGCUGUAAUUGUAAAGAAUGGAUCUUCUAGGAGUGGAAGCCCAAAGGAUGCUGGAAUUGUUAUUGAGGCCUUAAAGGUGUUCACAGGGCAUGCUUUAUCCUUGGAUCUAUGCAUUGAAUCUAACCUCCAGUAUCCCAGGCAUCUUUUCAGGUGUUUCAGAAACUUUUCUUGGAGCUGGAUUCUUCAAAGUUUAUGAACUGAUUACAGUACAGUAAGUCUAAACUGCUGUCUGAUUUUCUGGGUGUGAAUCAAUGUAACAGAACACAAACAUGGAACCUUGUGGACGGGAAAUGUGGACGGUUUUCUUUAAAGACUGUAAAAUACUUUUUGAAGUUUACACUGUUACAAAUACAUCAUUAAAAUGAGAUGCUUUCCUGUUCUUUUGACUGCAAUAAAAUAAGAAUUGAUUCAUCUUUGUCUGUCAUUCUGAAAUCAGAUAUAAUACUCAUUACUAAUAAAAAUAUUAAUGGAUGAUGUUAAAUUAAAAUAGUAUAAUUGAAUAGAAUUUAUUGUAUAGUGCUAGGUCUUUGUCCUGUAUACCCAAUAUUUUGUUUAAAUUUAAAUUAAUUUCUAAUUGCAAAUUGCAGAUUACCUUUUUGAAUGGGUUACUAUUAAAGAGUUUAUGUAGUGAUUCUAACACAAUUUUUAUUUGUGGAAUUUAAUUAAUGAUAUUGCUUGUAAUCUGUUGCCACACUUUUAUUGAGUAGAUAUGGCAUAAUAUUUUUUAUUGUAUAGUGCUAGAUCUUUGUCUAGUAUACACAAUAUUUUUGUUUAAAUUUUAAUAAAAAUUUUAAUUGCAAA